RNAcentral lists this ribosomal RNA (466 nucleotides) under uncultured Klebsiella sp. RNAcentral describes it as "bacterial SSU rRNA". It matches the Rfam family "Bacterial small subunit ribosomal RNA", at positions 338 to 795 of the family's 1533-position model. The record is from RNAcentral. Lineage: Bacteria; Pseudomonadati; Pseudomonadota; Gammaproteobacteria; Enterobacterales; Enterobacteriaceae.
CCUAACGGGAGGCUGCAGUGGGGAAUAUUGCACAAUGGGCGCAAGCCUGAUGCAGCCAUGCCGCGUGUGUGAAGAAGGCCUUCGGGUUGUAAAGCACUUUCAGCGGGGAGGAAGGCGUUAAGGUUAAUGACCUUGUCGAUUGACGUUACCCGCAGAAGAAGCACCGGCUAACUCCGUGCCAGCAGCCGCGGUAAUACGGAGGGUGCAAGCGUUAAUCGGAAUUACUGGGCGUAAAGCGCACGCAGGCGGUCUGUCAAGUCGGAUGUGAAAUCCCCGGGCUCAACCUGGGAACUGCAUUCGAAACUGGCAGGCUAGAGUCUUGUAGAGGGGGGUAGAAUUCCAGGUGUAGCGGUGAAAUGCGUAGAGAUCUGGAGGAAUACCGGUGGCGAAGGCGGCCCCCUGGACAAAGACUGACGCUCAGGUGCGAAAGCGUGGGGAGCAAACAGGAUUAGAUACCCUAGUAGUC